This 467-nucleotide ribosomal RNA is filed under the name uncultured bacterium. Its description in RNAcentral is "partial 16S ribosomal RNA". It matches the Rfam family "Bacterial small subunit ribosomal RNA", at positions 28 to 507 of the family's 1533-position model. The record is from RNAcentral.
GAUGAACGCUGGCGGCGUGCUUAACACAUGCAAGUCGAACGGUGAAGCAGAGCUUGCUCUGUGGAUCAGUGGCGAACGGGUGAGUAACACGUGAGCAACCUGCCCCUGACUCUGGGAUAAGCGCUGGAAACGGCGACUAAUACCGGAUAUGAGCUGCGACCGCAUGGUCAGCAGUUGGAAAGAUUUUUCGGUCUGGGAUGGGCUCACGGCCUAUCAGCUUGUUGGUGAGGUAAUGGCUCACCAAGGCGUCGACGGGUAGCCGGCCUGAGAGGGUGACCGGCCACACUGGGACUGAGACACGGCCCAGACUCCUACGGGAGGCAGCGGUGGGGAAGAGUGCACAAUGGGCGAAAGCCAGAUGCAGCAACGCCGCGUGAGGGAUGACGGCCUUCGGUUUGUAAACCUCUUUUAGCAGGGAAGAAGCGAAAGUGACGGUACCUGCAGAAAAAGCGCCGGCUAACUACGUG